Molecule: non-coding RNA, 4441 nt
Organism: Peromyscus maniculatus bairdii (prairie deer mouse)
Lineage: Eukaryota; Metazoa; Chordata; Mammalia; Rodentia; Cricetidae
Source: RefSeq, a predicted model, not a curated record
CUGGCCUUGAACUCACAAGAGAUCCACCUGCCUCUGCCUCCUGGGUGGUGGGAUUAAAGGUGUGCACCACCACCGCCCAGUGAACUGUUUAAUUUUGGUAGAAGUCUACUUUGUCAAUCUUGAAAAAAGUGCUUCUUGCUUCUUGUGAUACAUUUUAAGGUCUCUUUGCUUAUUUGAAGUCCCAAAGAGAUGUUCCUGCAUUUUCUUCUGGAAAAGUCGCGGUUUUAGUUUUUGGUUGAUUUCUAAGAUUUUUAUAUAUGAGGAAGAAGGACCUGAUGUUUGGUUUUGUCUGUACGAGCACGCAGCUGUUCCGACAUAGUCUGCUGAAAGAUCUUCCUUUGUGUGUUCGCACGCACGCGUGUGCGUGCAUGCCCACAUGCACACACUUGCAGAUACAAAGAAUAGAGCCCAAGGCCUUGUAUAUUCUAGGCCAAUGCUCUGCCACUGAGCUACACCCUACACUGAGUUAGGACUUCCUGAAUAUCUCUUAGCAGUCUUUCUUAGUCUUUCCUGUAGAAGUCUUAGACAUCUUUUGUGAAACUUAUUCCUAAGGAUUUUGUGCUUUGUUAAAAUACCGUUGGAGGGCAGAGGUGACUCCGCAUGUAAGGUCAUUACUACCCAAGCUUGAUGAGCUGAGUUCCAUCCCCAGUGACCACGCUGUAGGAGAAAAUCGACCUUUGCAAGUUGUCCUCUGGCCUUUACAUAUGUGCUGUGAACUGUACAUUUGUGUGUGUUGGUGGGUGGGUGGGAGGCACAAAAAUAAGUACAUGAAAAUGUUAUUAUAGCUGGGUGUGGUGGUGCACACCUGUAUUCCCAGCCCCUGAGAAGUGGAGGCAGAAGGAUCAGGAGUUCAAGGCCAGCCUCAGCGGUAUAGUAAGUCUGAGGCCAGCCUGGGCUACAUGAGAUGCUGUCUCAAACAAUAAAAUAAAACAACAUGAAAGUCCCACAGUGGAUGGAAAGUUUAUAAAUCACGUGUUUCUAUCACUAGCCACAGAGCUAAACAUCAAAACAGUGGCAGAAAAGACAGGUCAUCAAGGUAUUGUAGGUUUGGGGAAGUGGGAACCAGGGAGGUGACAAUUACUGGUAGUUGCAGAUCUGAGAAGGUGGGAGGAAGGUGGCCAUGUGAUGGGAGGGAGGCUGGAUGAACAGCAGGGUGGGAUGCUGACUUCCCUAUCCCGACAGGUGCCUUUCUGGAUCAUUCUUCUGAAAAGAGAAGCCAGGGCAAUGCUGAGGUCCCAGGGGAGUCCUCCUGUCCCUAGACCCCUCCCAGAUGUACCAUCUCUCCAGCCCUCAGGCAGAGCUGCCACCGUGGGCUAGGACGGGCGUGGCCCUCAGGGACCAAGUGGUAGCUAGCUUCGUGGUCCAGGAGGUGUAGUUUACCCUUUUCAAAGCUGCGUCGCUUCUGCCCUUGACUGUCUCCACUUGCCGGGGGGAGAUGGAAGCCGAAACCUGGGCUUUCCCGACUCCGAGCAUACAGCCUAGCUCCCACUGCCUUGAGUCUCUUUCUCUUUGACUGCCACCAGCUCCAUCAUUUCUUCAUGGUGCUCCACCCAGUUACAGAGUCAGCUGCCCACGUCUCUCAAAGCAGCCAAAACUUCCAGCUCAUGCAAUGAGGAAAGAUUCCUAAGAAGUAGAAAACCCGGACAAGCCCCAACCCCACCCGGCCUGGGUCCCAUCACUGUCUCGAUGGGAAGGGCGUGGCUGAGAAAGGAGGGGAGAAGACAAGGGCGCUUUCCUGCUGGAAGUCAAAAGGGAUGAGAAGGGUUGUGCCAAAGGGAGCGUCUGUCCCUCUGUCCCCUCACAGUGCACUCACAGCCCUUUAAAGAAAGGCAUGCUCACUGUAUGUUAAGACCACGCUUGUCAUGUAACUAACAGAUCCUCAAGUACACUGUGUCUGUCCCUUGGUCACUACCAGCUCACCAGUUUGGCGGGAUGUCCUCCAUGCAAUGACUUAGACACUAGACUUUUCACAUACGAGGCACUCUAAGUCAUUCCCUUCUCCACCAGACCUGUGGGGAUGAAAAGAGACUUCUGUGAGAGGCCACACCUCAGAAGUCAGGUCCAGGGGACUGGGGAGACAGUUCAUCAGUAAAGUGCUUCCGUGCGUGCUGGUUGACCUGAAUUCAAAUCCUCACACCCAUAUAAAAGCUGGGCAUGCCCAGAUGUGUCUGUAACCUCAGCCCUUGGAUGGCAGUAGCUGGGAGGCAGACAGACACCCAGAACUCACUGAUUAGUCUAGCUGAAUGGGUGGGUGAGCUCCAGGCUCAGUGAAGAGGCUAUCUUAAAAGGAAGGUGAAGAGGGGAUGAGGAAGGCGUAGGGCAUCCACCUCUAGAUGGUACACACACACACACACACACACACACACACACACACACACACACACAGCCCAGAGUGACACAUGCUGUUUCAGCUCCAUUGGUAAGAACCUGUCACAGGGCCAAAGAGGCCUGGAAACGUCCCGGCUUCCUAACGGUUUCCCAGUGACAACCGGUGCCAGGAAGGGAGCUUAGACUUUGGUACCCCCGCCGUCAAGGAUGGCGGAGCCCUCGCCAGUCCUGUGGCCUCACCUGCAAACUGGAGGGGCUGUUGCAAAGGGAGGGCCUGUCUUCUGCUCCGUCGCCAUCAUGGGUUCUCCAUGCGUUCUCCAUCUUUGAAGUGGCUUGGGGUGCCCUCAGCCCCUCCUUCCCUCAGCCACUCAGGGGCCCGCUUCUUCAGAUAUCUGAUGUCUUCCAAGAAGGUUUCCAGGGAACUUAAUAUUCACAUGGAAGGCACCCAUUCUACCUAAGGAAUGUUUGUCAUGAGUGGGGGCAAUGCCUGGGGACACAGCCCCCAUCUCACUGGUUCACCGUUGGCGGUUUCUCCAGCUGAGGAUCAAGGUCCUUUCUCCAGCUACACCAAGACAUCACGUGUGCUCUGGGAAUAGGAAGUAGACACAUUCAUUGGUUAGAAGUUAGAAGGGAUCCCCUUAGAAGGGCGGCGAAGACAGCCCAGGACCCCAGGCAGAAGCAGAGAAGGGGGCUGCUUAUUUAAAGGGAGUCGAUAUGCCUAAUGCAUUGUUGAGAUCACAUGCAAUCCUCUCCCUCUUGGUUCCCUCUUCUCUUUUCCCCUCUUUUCUCUCCUGCUUCCCUUCUUCCUGGCAGGGACUGAAGCCGGGCCUCCUGUGAGGUAGGCUACUUCUCUUCUACUGAGCUGCAGCCCAGGCCUCUGCUGUGGUUUUCAGUCACACGCUGAGCAUAGUCAACUUUCCCCACAUGGAGAGCUAAUUAGAACAGUUUACUUAUCAAUGAUUCCUCGUGUGCUGGGCAUUAGAGUGAGCUGGUCCGGCUUUGCAGCAGCCUCAUCAGGUAGGGACUUUUGCUUCAUCUCCACUUUGUACAGAAAGGAAGAAACGUUCAGAGAGGCACAGUUAAUCUCCCAAGGUUUACAGCCCAUGAGAGAAGAGCUUAGCUUUAACUUUGGUGUCCAGCACAAAGUCUGCGUUCCUCAUGUGACUCUGUUUCCUUUUCGGGGGGCACAUCCAGUGUGCAGGUAGUGGAUCCCCCUUGGUGACCCAUGCUCUCCAACUUUCCUGUUUUCUAGAUCUAGCCAUCAAAAAGUAGCUUCCCAGAUCCCUGGGUCACUGAGCAAGGGACAGCUGACCUGGAGACUUGCCAGCUAUAUACUGCCUUGCAUGGAAGAAAACUACACCUGUGUAAAGAAGUUUGUGUUGGUUUCCAUGGAGAUUUGGAGACCUUUUUGUCUUGCUGCACUGAAAUGCUACAUUUUAGAUCGGAACACUGGCAAACACCAUUCUGCCUUCUGCCUCUGUGAACAAGGCUACCCUGUGUGCCUCAUGUGUAUGCCACCCAGAAGAUGACUUCGGAUCCCUUGGCAUUACAGGCUGUGAGGAGUCCCAUGUGGUUGCUAGGAGCUGAACCCGGGCCCUCUGCAAGAGCAUUGAGUGAUCCUAACUGCUGAGCCAUCUCUCCUGGCCCACUGAGUUGGCAUUUAAGAGCAUAUGAAGUAAUGUGUUCCCUAUGGCAUUCCCACCCAUACCUACCAUUCUUACUCAUCUCCACCCUGCCUUCUUAUCUAGCUGUCUAUUUAUUCAUUUUGAGACAAGAUCUCACUCUGGAUGCCAAGUCUGGAGCUCACUAUGUAGCCCAGGCUGGCUUGGAAUUCGCAGCGAUCCCCUUGCCUCAAAUCUCCUGAGUGCUGGGAUUGAAGACACGUUUUUGUUUUCGUUUUCCAGUCUUAAUGCUAACUGAUAAUUCUGUACAGACAUCUGUUCAGACGGCGUUCUGUUCACUCAUUUAUCCUGCUCCAGCACUCGAAGCUUCCACCCUUUGGCUCAUAUGAGCAGUGCUGAUAUGAAAUCAGGUGUGCAACUACGUCUGAGGCCGCUGUUAUCUUACAUUUUCCAAGUAUGAAUGAAUUAUGUAAAAGACAAAUUAAAAUUAA